RNAcentral lists this ribosomal RNA (490 nucleotides) under uncultured bacterium. RNAcentral's name for it is "partial 16S ribosomal RNA". It matches the Rfam family "Bacterial small subunit ribosomal RNA", at positions 30 to 507 of the family's 1533-position model. The record is from RNAcentral.
AUUGAACGCUGGCGGCAGGCCUAACACAUGCAAGUCGAACGGUAACAGGAAGAAGCUUGCUUCUUUGCUGACGAGUGGCGGACGGGUGAGUAAUGUCUGGGAAACUGCCUGAUGGAGGGGGAUAACUACUGGAAACGGUAGCUAAUACCGCAUAACGUCGCAAGACCAAAGAGGGGGACCUUCGGGCCUCUUGCCAUCGGAUGUGCCCAGAUGGGAUUAGCUAGUAGGUGGGGUAACGGCUCACCUAGGCGACGAUCCCUAGCUGGUCUGAGAGGAUGACCAGCCACACUGGAACUGAGACACGGUCCAGACUCCUACGGGAGGCAGCAGUGGGGAAUAUUGCACAAUGGGCGGAAGCCUGAUGCAGCCAUGCCGCGUGUAUGAAGAAGGCCUUCGGGUUGUAAAGUACUUUCAGCGGGGAGGAAGGGAGUAAAGUUAAUACCUUGGCUCAUUGACGUUACCCGCAGAAGAAGCACCGGCUAACUCCGUG